UGAAUUAAAAAGGCGCCAGGACAGAUUUUUAUAAGUCUGUUGACGAGGAGAAGGAAGCGAUGCACUAAUUAACGUGUGUCGUAUCGAAAGAUUCGGCGGAUACCUUCCGGCUGUUACGGUCGAGAGAGACAAAACAAAACUUGCAGGCGACUGCAAGAACAAAAUGGUCUCAUGUAGCUAA
Molecule: non-coding RNA, 181 nt
Filed under: Ruminiclostridium cellulolyticum
Lineage: Bacteria; Bacillati; Bacillota; Clostridia; Eubacteriales; Oscillospiraceae
Also listed under: 1 other name
Description: Clostridium cellulolyticum GlcN6P sequence
Rfam family: glmS glucosamine-6-phosphate activated ribozyme aptamer
About the family: This entry contains a glucosamine-6-phosphate activated ribozyme that is found in the mRNA for GlmS. GlmS is an enzyme that uses fructose-6-phosphate and glutamine to generate glucosamine-6-phosphate. The ribozyme catalyses self cleavage of the glmS mRNA that is thought to regulate GlmS activity.
Source: RNAcentral